Molecule: ribosomal RNA, 253 nt
Filed under: uncultured bacterium
Lineage: Bacteria
Description: partial 16S ribosomal RNA
Rfam family: Bacterial small subunit ribosomal RNA
Source: RNAcentral
UACGGAGGGUGCAAGCGUUAUCCGGAUUCACUGGGUUCAAAGGGUGCGUAGGUGGGUUGGUAAGUCAGUGGUGAAAUCUCCGAGCUUAACUUGGAAACUGCCAUUGAUACUAUCAGUCUUGAAUAUUGUGGAGGUCAGCGGAAUAUGUCAUGUAGCGGUGAAAUGCUUAGAUAUGACAUAGAACACCAAUUGCGAAGGCAGCUGGCUACGCAUAUAUUGACACUGAGGCACGAAAGCGUGGGGAUCAAACAGG